Molecule: small nuclear RNA, 104 nt
Organism: Ictidomys tridecemlineatus (thirteen-lined ground squirrel)
Lineage: Eukaryota; Metazoa; Chordata; Mammalia; Rodentia; Sciuridae
Source: Ensembl
UUGCUUGCUUCGGCAGUACAUAUGCUAAAAUUGGAAUUAAACGGAUAUUAGCAUGGGCCCUGCGCAAAGAUGACAUGCAAAUUUGUGAAGCAUUCUGUAUUUUU